Molecule: ribosomal RNA, 439 nt
Filed under: uncultured bacterium
Lineage: Bacteria
Description: bacterial SSU rRNA
Rfam family: Bacterial small subunit ribosomal RNA
Source: RNAcentral
UGAACGCUGGCGGCAGGCCUAACACAUGCAAGUCGAACGGAUCCUUCGGGAUUAGUGGCGGACGGGUGAGUAACGCGUGGGAACAUACCCUUUGGUACGGAAUAGCCUCGGGAAACUGGGAGUAAUACCGUAUGUGGUCGAGAGACGAAAGAUUUAUCGCCAAAGGAUUGGCCCGCGUUGGAUUAGGUAGUUGGUGGGGUAAUGGCCUACCAAGCCGACGAUCCAUAGCUGGUUUGAGAGGAUGAUCAGCCACACUGGGACUGAGACACGGCCCAGACUCCUACGGGAGGCAGCAGUGGGGAAUCUUAGACAAUGGGGGAAACCCUGAUCUAGCCAUGCCGCGUGAUCGAUGAAGGCCUUAGGGUUGUAAAGAUCUUUCAGGUGGGAAGAUAAUGACUGUACCACCAGAAGAAGCCCCGGCUAACUCCGUGGCCAGCAG